AGUGUACGCUGGCGGUAGGCCUAACACAUGCAAGUCGAACGGCAGCACAGUAAGAGCUUGCUCUUACGGGUGGCGAGUGGCGGACGGGUGAGGAAUACAUCGGAAUCUACUUUUUCGUGGGGGAUAACGUAGGGAAACUUACGCUAAUACCGCAUACGACCUACGGGUGAAAGCAGGGGAUCUUCGGACCUUGCGCGAUUGAAUGGGCCGAUGUCGGAUUAGCUAGUUGGCGGGGUAAAGGCCCACCAAGGCGACGAUCCGUAGCUGGUCUGAGAGGAUGAUCAGCCACACUGGAACUGAGACACGGUCCAGACUCCUACGGGAGGCAGCAGUGGGGAAUAUUGGACAAUGGGCGCAAGCCUGAUCCAGCCAUACCGCGUGGGUGAAGAAGGCCUUCGGGUUGUAAAGCCCUUUUGUUGGGAAAGAAAAGCAGCAGGUUAAUACCCCGCUGUUCUGACGGUACCCAAAGAAUAAGCACCGGCUAACUUCGUG
This 492-nucleotide ribosomal RNA is filed under the name uncultured bacterium. RNAcentral describes it as "partial 16S ribosomal RNA". It matches the Rfam family "Bacterial small subunit ribosomal RNA", at positions 29 to 507 of the family's 1533-position model. The record is from RNAcentral.